GAUGAACGCUGGCGGCGUGCUUAACACAUGCAAGUCGAACGAUGAAGCCCAGCUUGCUGGGUGGAUUAGUGGCGAACGGGUGAGUAACACGUGAGUAACCUGCCCUUGACUCUGGGAUAAGCCUGGGAAACUGGGUCUAAUACUGGAUAUGACUUCUCAUCGCAUGGUGGGGGGUGGAAAGAUUUAUUGGUCUAGGAUGGACUCGCGGCCUAUCAGCUUGUUGGUGAGGUAAUGGCUCACCAAGGCGACGACGGGUAGCCGGCCUGCGAGGGUGACCGGCCAAACUGGGACUGAGACACGGCCCAGACUCCUACGGGAGGCAGCAGUGGGGAAUAUUGCACAAUGGGCGCAAGCCUGAUGCAGCGACGCCGCGUGAGGGAUGACGGCCUUCGGGUUGUAAACCUCUUUCAGUAGGGAAGAAGCGAGAGUGACGGUACCUGCAGAAGAAGCGCCGGCUAACUACGUG
This 466-nucleotide ribosomal RNA is filed under the name uncultured bacterium. Its description in RNAcentral is "partial 16S ribosomal RNA". It matches the Rfam family "Bacterial small subunit ribosomal RNA", at positions 28 to 507 of the family's 1533-position model. The record is from RNAcentral.